CAAUAGCGUAUAUUUAAGUUGUUGCAGUUAAAAAGCUCGUAGUUGGAUUUCUGCCGAGGACGACCGGUCCGCCCUCUGGGUGAGUAUCUGGCUCGGCCUGGGCAUCUUCUUGGAGAACGUAGCUGCACUUGACUGUGUGGUGCGGUAUCCAGGACUUUUACUUUGAGGAAAUUAGAGUGUUUCAAGCAGGCUUACGCCUUGAAUACAUUAGCAUGGAAUAAUAAGAUAGGACCUCGGUUCUAUUUUGUUGGUUUCUAGAGCUGAGGUAAUGAUUAAUAGGGAUAGUUGGGGGCAUUCGUAUUUAACUGUCAGAGGUGAGAUUCUUGGAUUUGUUAAAGACGGACUACUGCGAAAGCAUUUGCCAAGGAUGUUUUCAUUGA
This 380-nucleotide ribosomal RNA is filed under the name uncultured eukaryote. RNAcentral's name for it is "partial 18S ribosomal RNA". It matches the Rfam family "Eukaryotic small subunit ribosomal RNA", at positions 592 to 976 of the family's 1831-position model. The record is from RNAcentral.